GAUGAACGCUAGCUACAGGCUUAACACAUGCAAGUCGAGGGGCAGCAUGGUCUUAGCUUGCUAAGACUGAUGGCGACCGGCGCACGGGUGAGUAACACGUAUCCAACCUGCCGUCUACUCUUGGACAGCCUUCUGAAAGGAAGAUUAAUACAAGAUGGCAUCAUGAGUCCGCAUGUUCACAUGAUUAAAGGUAUUCCGGUAGACGAUGGGGAUGCGUUCCAUUAGAUAGUAGGCGGGGUAACGGCCCACCUAGUCUUCGAUGGAUAGGGGUUCUGAGAGGAAGGUCCCCCACAUUGGAACUGAGACACGGUCCAAACUCCUACGGGAGGCAGCAGUGAGGAAUAUUGGUCAAUGGGCGAGAGCCUGAACCAGCCAAGUAGCGUGAAGGAUGAAGGUCCUACGGAUUGUAAACUUCUUUUAUACGGGAAUAAAGUUUCCUACGUGUAGGAUUUUGUAUGUACCGUAUGAAUAGCAUCGGCUAACUCCGUGCCAG
RNAcentral lists this ribosomal RNA (493 nucleotides) under uncultured bacterium. RNAcentral describes it as "bacterial SSU rRNA". It matches the Rfam family "Bacterial small subunit ribosomal RNA", at positions 28 to 511 of the family's 1533-position model. The record is from RNAcentral.